CAGCCGCCGCGGUAAAACGAAGGGUGCAAGCGUUAAUCGGAACUACUGGGCGUAAAGCGUGCGUAGGCGGUUUGUUAAGUCUGUUGUGAAAUCCCCGGGCUCAACCUGGGAAUGGCAAUGGAUACUGGCAAGCUAGAGUGUGUCAGAGGAUGGUGGAAUUCCCGGUGUAGCGGUGAAAUGCGUAGAGAUCGGGAGGAACAUCAGUGGCGAAGGCGGCCAUCUGGGACAACACUGACGCUGAGGCACGAAAGCGUGGGGAGCAAACAGGAUUAGAUACCCGGGUAGUCCCUGUCUCUUAUAC
This 301-nucleotide ribosomal RNA is filed under the name uncultured bacterium. Its description in RNAcentral is "partial 16S ribosomal RNA". It matches the Rfam family "Bacterial small subunit ribosomal RNA", at positions 509 to 807 of the family's 1533-position model. The record is from RNAcentral.